Lepidothrix coronata (blue-crowned manakin) is the source of this 369-nucleotide long non-coding RNA. RefSeq lists it as uncharacterized. The transcript is spliced from 3 exons. NCBI's taxonomy places the organism in Eukaryota, Metazoa, Chordata, Aves, Passeriformes, Pipridae. The record is from RefSeq and is a predicted model, not a curated record.
GAGGUGUCCCGGGAGGCGACUCAGCUGAGUGGGGGAACCCCGCCCAUCCACCAGGGAUUUAAGCGGCUGCCGGGAGCGCCCCCACCCCUGCCUGCGGGAACAGGAGCGGGCAAACAGGGACUGGCACGGCAGUGACCGAGGCAGUUCGCCCAGGCUGGGCAAGCAGGAGGGGCACAGCCACCUCCCAGCUCUCUCAGUUUUUGUCAAUCUGAACCAUCCAGUGGUAGAAGACAUGCAGAAAGACUACUCAGCGAGUUGCAUUUUGAACAAGGAGCCCCAUAAGGAUGUGGUAACAGUCAAGCCUGCUCUGUCAGGGCAAAAAUCUUUUCACAGAACCUUCCCAGACUGAAGGAAGUGAAGCUGUUUCAC